RNAcentral lists this transfer RNA (70 nucleotides) under Meriones meridianus (mid-day jird). RNAcentral describes it as "tRNA-Met". Lineage: Eukaryota; Metazoa; Chordata; Mammalia; Rodentia; Muridae. The record is from RNAcentral.
AGUAAGGUAAGCUAUAAAAAGCUAUCGGGCCCAUACCCCGAAAAUGAUGGUGAAACCCCUUCCCCUACUA